CUACGGGAGGCACCAGUGAGGAAUAUUGGUCAAUGGGGGCAACCCUGAACCAGCCAUGCCGCGUGAAGGAUGAAGGCUUUAUGAGUUGUAAACUUCUUUUAUAUAGGGCGAACCAUUUUUACGUGUAAAGAUCUGACAGUACUAUAUGAAUAAGCAUCGGCUAACUCCGUGCCAGCAGCCGAGGUAAUACGGAGGAUGCGAGCGUUAUCCGGAUUUACUGGGUUUAAAGGGUGCGUAGGCGGGUCUAUAAGUCAGUGGUGAAAGUCUGUCGCUUAACGAUAGGAUUGCCAUUGGAACUGUAGGUCUUGAGUACAAUUGAGGCAGGCGGAAUGUGCAGUGUAGCGGUGAAAUGCUUAGAUAUUGCACAGAACACCGAUUCCGAAGGGAGCUUGCUAAGUUGUCACUGACGCUGAGUCACGAAAGCGUGGGGAUCAAACAGGAUUAGAUACCCGCGUAGUC
RNAcentral lists this ribosomal RNA (459 nucleotides) under uncultured bacterium. Its description in RNAcentral is "partial 16S ribosomal RNA". It matches the Rfam family "Bacterial small subunit ribosomal RNA", at positions 339 to 795 of the family's 1533-position model. The record is from RNAcentral.